GAGCAACAUCAGAGGAGUCCACCAAGUGCAAAAACAAAGAAGAAUGCAUCGAGCAAAAUUUCUGAAAAAACAUUCGAAUCAGUGGACAGUAACCACAACAGAACUCAAAUAAUAAUAGGUAUGACUUGGUCUCCAAGGCGUUGUCCUUCCUCAAUGUAGGGUCUGUCAGGACACGCAUAUGGACCCUUGAACUAAAGCCUCCAAUCCCCAACUCCUGGUCUAGGCAUUGAGGUGAUGAAGUUCUUGGAGUAUGAGCUCAUCACUGAAUACAACAUCUGGGAUCAAGCACCGAGGAUGCGAGAGCGAGGGAGCGAGUUGAGAGUGUCUUUGGAGAUUCCUCAGCUCUGAGGGCAUCACAGACUGAAAUGCCGCCAAGAUCUAGCGACAUAUUGUUCGCACUUCUCAAGGUCUUGGCAAUGCUGCUCCCAAGGGAGAGUGACCAACGGCUGACGGGUGACAUAUGAACUUUUCGCUGCGGGCGUGCCACAUGGCGGGGCUG
Molecule: long non-coding RNA, 499 nt
Organism: Rhododendron vialii
Lineage: Eukaryota; Viridiplantae; Streptophyta; Magnoliopsida; Ericales; Ericaceae
Exons: 3
Source: RefSeq, a predicted model, not a curated record